GACGAACGCUGGCGGCGUGCUUAACACAUGCAAGUCGAACGGAAAGGCCCCUUUGGGGGUCCUCGAGUGGCGAACGGGUGAGUAACACGUGAGUAACCUGCCCUUGACUUCGGGAUAACUUCAGGAAACUGGGGCUAAUACCGGAUAGGAAUCCUUGCUGCAUGGUGGGGGUUGGAAAGCUUCGGCGGUUUUGGAUGGACUCGCGGCCUAUCAGCUUGUUGGUGGGGUAGUGGCUUACCAAGGCUUUGACGGGUAGCCGGCCUGAGAGGGCGACCGGCCACAUUGGGACUGAGGUACGGCCCAGGCUCCUACGGGAGGAAGAAGUGGGGAAUAUUGCACAAUGGGCGGAAGCCUGAUGCAGCAACGCCGCGUGCGGGAUGACGGCCUUCGGGUUGUAAACCGCUUUCAGCAGGGGCGAAGCUUGUGGUGACGGUACCUGCAGAAGAAGCACCGGCUAACUACGUG
Molecule: ribosomal RNA, 465 nt
Filed under: uncultured bacterium
Lineage: Bacteria
Description: partial 16S ribosomal RNA
Rfam family: Bacterial small subunit ribosomal RNA
Source: RNAcentral